This 1309-nucleotide ribosomal RNA is filed under the name metagenome. Its description in RNAcentral is "bacterial LSU rRNA". It matches the Rfam family "Bacterial large subunit ribosomal RNA", at positions 1537 to 2836 of the family's 2925-position model. The record is from RNAcentral.
AAAAUCCGCCGGGCUUAGAUGAGGGGUGAUAACGAGGGUGCUUGCACCCGAAGUGAGUGAUACCCUGCUUCCAGGAAAAGCCACUAAGCUUCAGCUACACACGACCGUACCGCAAACCGACACUGGUGCGCGAGAUGAGUAUUCUAAGGCGCUUGAGAGAACUCAGGAGAAGGAACUCGGCAAAUUGACACCGUAACUUCGGAAGAAGGUGUGCCUUUAGUAGGUGAACCAUUUACUUGGGGAGCCCAAUGAGGUUGCAAAAAAUCGGUGGCUGCGACUGUUUAAUAAAAACACAGCACUCUGCAAACACGAAAGUGGACGUAUAGGGUGUGACGCCUGCCCGGUGCUGGAAGAUUAAAUGAUGGGGUGCAAGCUCUUGAUUGAAGUCCCAGUAAACGGCGGCCGUAACAAUAACGGUCCUAAGGUAGCGAAAUUCCUUGUCGGGUAAGUUCCGACCUGCACGAAUGGCGUAACGAUGGCCACACUGUCUCCUCCUGAGACUCAGCGAAGUUGAAAUGUUUGUGAUGAUGCAAUCUCCCCGCGGAAAGACGGAAAGACCCCAUGAACCUUUACUGUAGCUUUGUAUUGGACUUUGAACAGAUCUGUGUAGGAUAGGUGGGAGGCUUUGAAGCAGGGUCGCUAGAUCUUGUGGAGCCAACGUUGAAAUACCACCCUGGUGUGUUUGAGGUUCUAACCUAGGCCCGUUAUCCGGGUCGGGGACAGUGCAUGGUAGGCAGUUUGACUGGGGCGGUCUCCUCCCAAAGCGUAACGGAGGAGUUCGAAGGUACGCUAGGUACGGUCGGACAUCGUGCUAAUAGUGCAAUGGCAUAAGCGUGCUUAACUGCGAGACUGACAAGUCGAGCAGAUGCGAAAGCAGGACAUAGUGAUCCGGUGGUUCUGUAUGGAAGGGCCAUCGCUCAACGGAUAAAAGGUACUCUGGGGAUAACAGGCUGAUACCGCCCAAGAGUUCAUAUCGACGGCGGUGUUUGGCACCUCGAUGUCGGCUCAUCUCAUCCUGGGGCUGUAGCCGGUCCCAAGGGUAUGGCUGUUCGCCAUUUAAAGAGGUACGUGAGCUGGGUUUAAAACGUCGUGAGACAGUUUGGUCCCUAUCUUCCGUGGGCGCUGCAGAUUUGAGGAAGCCUGCUCCUAGUACGAGAGGACCGGAGUGGACACACCUCUGGUGUAUCGGUUGUCACGCCAGUGGCAUUGCCGAGUAGCUAAGUGUGGAAGAGAUAACCGCUGAAAGCAUCUAAGCGGGAAACUCGUUUCAAGAUGAGAUCUGCCGGGGCCUUGAGCCCCCUAAAGAGUC